UUUUUUAUAAAAAUAAAUUUAGAUAGAAAUAUGAAUCAAUUAGAAUUCGAACUUAAAAUUUCGAGUACCAACCAUCAAAUUUUUUGUCAAUUAUGCUAGCUCUAUUAAUAUAUUACUAGAUGAUUACGUAAUUACUGAUUUUUCUUUUUUUCCGAAGGGCUUUCAUGAGUUUUUUCAAGAAAUGCUUCUUCUUAUGGCUAAAGUGAGGAGAGAGGAGAGGAAAUACAGUUUAGCGGAGUUACAGCAAAUGUUGGUUGAGAUGGCUUGCAGUUUUGCGCCAUCUCCUCCUCCUAGUAAUGGGUUCGCCGCCGGAGUAUCGACCGUAGAUGCGGGAAGAUUCGGCAAUGGUGCAGAUCGAAUGGCGGAAAUUAAAUCCGGUGUUCGUGUGUCGGGUGUAGGGAGAUUGGGGAGCACAGGCUCUUACUAUGUGUAGCACUUGUCCUGAUAUAGAGAUGUUGUGUGUAAAAAUAUUUUUGUAGUUGGAUGAGUUAAUUUUGCAAAUAGUGGAGUUAGAAAUUUUGGGUUUUUGUGAUCGAAAAUAAGAAGGGAACUUCAAUUAGGUUUA
Long non-coding RNA from Ananas comosus (pineapple), 565 nucleotides. RefSeq lists it as uncharacterized. The transcript has 2 exons. The record is from RefSeq and is a predicted model, not a curated record. Lineage: Eukaryota; Viridiplantae; Streptophyta; Magnoliopsida; Poales; Bromeliaceae.